GUCUUAAAACUUCUUAAGGUAAAAGAGUAGUUUAAUAAGAACAAAUUAUAUUAUCCGAAAAUAUCGUACAUGAUCAUGAUGCAAAUUUAAAGUUUUCACUAUUGUUUCCCACUUUAUAAUAUUGCUGGAUGCUGUAUUUGAAUCUUGCCUUUGGCAAUGGUGGAGGAAGAGGAGAUUCAGCUAACACAAUUUGCUGGUUGUUCAUCAUUGAAUCAUCAGUAGAAUUUGUGCUUCAUCUUUAUCUUCUUUGGCCUUAUGAAGUAACAUACUAGACAAAGUAGAAGAAUUAGCAUCACUAGAACUAUCCAAUGAGUCCUUCUCUUCUAUAGCUUGUACAUGAUUUGUGUCUUGAUGAGAAGUUUCUUUCCCUCUUCUUUUGUCCAACUCGGCAAUCAGAGUAUCUAUCCUUAGAUUUUUAUCUACAGAGCUCAAAUUUGAA
This is a non-coding RNA of Arachis ipaensis, 439 nucleotides long. Lineage: Eukaryota; Viridiplantae; Streptophyta; Magnoliopsida; Fabales; Fabaceae. The record is from RefSeq and is a predicted model, not a curated record.